Non-coding RNA from Lupinus albus (white lupine), 1114 nucleotides. The record is from the annotation of a GenBank genome assembly. NCBI's taxonomy places the organism in Eukaryota, Viridiplantae, Streptophyta, Magnoliopsida, Fabales, Fabaceae.
GUUGGCUGUUUUUGACCCUUUAUUGCUAUGACUAUUUUUUUCAUCAUAUCACCAUUUUAUUAACUUCUUUAAACCUGUUUUUCAAUUCUGUCCACUCUUGAUUCUUUUAAUAUCCGUUUCUUGUCAUCUUUUUUCACAUGGCGUGUGAGGCUCAAAUUCUCAAUGGCUUUCUCUUAUGUAAAAUAUUGACAGCAUCAAUCUAAAGUAGAAGAACAAUAAUAUUGUUUAUAAUUUUUCAUAGAGAUUGGAAAAUGAAGGCUUUGCUUCCAAGUGUCUUUGCUCUUUGGAGAGGAUAUAUAUAAAUGCUUGAAUAGUGUGAGGUAAGUAAGAAACCCUUCUCUAAUUGUCCUUUCAUUCCUAGUGCAAUCUUAUCUACAAGCUAAGCCAGUUAACAACAAGGAUAUGGAGAAAGAGGAAACUGAAGAGGAUGAUGAUAACAAAGUUCAGUUUAUGAAUACUAUGCCACUCUCUUUUUGAAGAGAGAAGCGUGAAAAAGGCAAGUCUCAGUGGCAUAGGGAAGGCAAAGCCUUUCUUCCGGGUUCGAUUCAUGAAGCUGCAUACUGUGCUGGUGAUGGGUUGAUUGCUAUGUAAUUUAGUGUUUUCUUUGUUUCUCUUUUCACCCAUUAUUUAGUCUAAUCACUUUCAAUGCUUGACUUAGAAACCACUCCAAUAGAUGCAUGAGAAGGCAAGCUGCAGAAACUGAGGUAGUGAGUGAUUUGAGAAAUAUAGAUUGUAAUGUUUGCUUUUUUUGGAAGUCUUGAAUAAAGUAGUAAACUGUUUGUUGGUUUCCAAUAUAGAAAAAAGUCAUUAUUGUAAAGAUUUACCUUGAAAUGUCAAAUUUAGGUCCAGCUUCCAUUCCUUGUCUAUGUAUUUCUGUAAAAGACAAGGAAUGUGCAAGCAGACACAUACGAACUACUAAGUAAAACUGGGGAUAAGUCCACUCUGCUAAGCUUGACAUGAAGUGAAGAAAAAAUAUGGUGCAUUUAAUGUUACACAGAUCAUAUAUCAUUUUUUAAGAAUUUAUACUUCAUUUUUACCUAGCUUAAGUAUAAGGUAGAGCAUAGUGAUCUACAUCAAGCGUUAUUCAUAUGUUGCACGUGGGAAGCUUUAUAUA